UUUGCCCUCAUCUCAAGAGUCUGCCUG
This 27-nucleotide non-coding RNA is filed under the name Mus musculus (house mouse). The record is from RNAcentral. Lineage: Eukaryota; Metazoa; Chordata; Mammalia; Rodentia; Muridae.